UCAAACACACCCAACAGGUGCAUGUCCGGUGUAGCUUACAUGCUAAAUGCUAAAAUCACGGUAGAUCCUGCAGCGAUGGAUUCUGCGUUUACUGAGGCACUUCAUCAUUCAGUAUGAUCUGUGUGAGGACUUUCUGGUGAUGGAAAGGCAGAAAAGUUUUUGCUUUGAGAACGAACCAUCAGAAGAUUGAGGAGGACUUCGUGGUGCACAUGCAUUCUCACAAGUGUGUAUUGUGGUGGCAGAUGGCUGUGCCUGGGACAUCAGGACAGUGGAUGAUGUGGCACAAAGAAAGAUGCAUGCAAUUCCUAUUUCUGCACUCAUGACAAUGAGCCAUGACAUGAUGGCGGAGACAAAGAAACCUGAGGCAGCUCCAUGUACAUCCAUCAGGGAGUGCUCCAAUGGAGCGCAGCGGGCCCGACGAUUGUCCUCAUAAAUUGUGUGUGUGUCGGGGUGCAGAAGGGCUAAGUGAGCAGUAAAUAACAAAGGGUCCUGCCACCAUCCGCUCACCAUCGGCACGUUUCCGGCCACGCAAGAUUACCCAGGAUGCCCCUGGAGGGGGUGUCCGCUUCCUCUGUGUGAUGAGUGGACAGGAGGAGGGAAGAACACGCCUUCACCACACAGCAUCUGACAGAGAGAAGAUGGCAGCCACACCUAAAUGCAGAAAGGGGAAGGCGAGAGGAAGUCAUUAAAGCAUGCCCUGCAGGAGCCUGCCUGGGCCUGGGUGGGAUGAGAUGGGACGGCAGCAGCACUUUGGAAGGAGCUGCUUUAAAGCCCGAACACAGGAAAUGUGACGGGAGAAGGACUGCAGGUCGGAUGUUUCAAGUUUACAUCCCUGCUGUGCUACACAUUGUGGGAUUACCUUGUUUUGGCAUCUUUGAACUCCAUCAGACUGCACCUCAAAGAAGGUCAGAAUUCAUACAGAUGGAGGUUUUGUCCAACUAACACCCUCCACCUUGUGAACCCCCAAAUGACAGUCGUGCAGAAGAUGAGAGGAGCAGGUGUGUCUCAGGCAUCAGGUGUCCACCUCAACAACCCCCGUCUGUUCCCUGUAAGCAGGUGUGAUACUUGCUCAUUAAUCCAUCUCAGGUUAUGACAUACCUUACAGGGGCUUCUGUUUCCUCCAUCCUUUUUUUAUUACAGGGGCUAUUAUAAAUACACAUGGUUUCUAUGGUGUUGUUCAUACAGCAUUCCAACAAUGUUUAUAUAUAUAUAUAUGUGUGUGUGUGUGUGUGUGUGUGUGUGUGUGUGGAUAAAACGUAAUAAAAAUAAAAAUAGUAAAGUACAAAAAGGAAAAUAAAGGAAAGAAGAAUUAAAAGACAUAUCAGAAAUACAUUAACAUAAAUAAUAAACUAAAGGAACUUGGGCAUCAUUCAAAAUGUGUUUAUUUCGUUUUAGUGAGAUGACAUCUCCUAUUACACUCCUUACUGCUACAGCGUCUUUUCUUUCUGAUUCCCUCCAUGUGCCAUGGGAAGAAGUGGCUCAUAUUUCAUGCU
This is a long non-coding RNA of Eleginops maclovinus (Patagonian blennie), 1493 nucleotides long. RefSeq lists it as uncharacterized. The record is from RefSeq and is a predicted model, not a curated record. The transcript has 5 exons. Lineage: Eukaryota; Metazoa; Chordata; Actinopteri; Perciformes; Eleginopidae.